RNAcentral lists this ribosomal RNA (187 nucleotides) under Escherichia coli. RNAcentral's name for it is "partial 16S ribosomal RNA". It matches the Rfam family "Bacterial small subunit ribosomal RNA", at positions 1 to 181 of the family's 1533-position model. The record is from RNAcentral. Lineage: Bacteria; Pseudomonadati; Pseudomonadota; Gammaproteobacteria; Enterobacterales; Enterobacteriaceae. RNAcentral also lists the same sequence under 3 other names.
AAAUUGAAGAGUUUGAUCAUGGCUCAGAUUGAACGCUGGCGGCAGGCCUAACACAUGCAAGUCGAACGGUAACAGGAAGCAGCUUGCUGCUUUGCUGACGAGUGGCGGACGGGUGAGUAAUGUCUGGGAAACUGCCUGAUGGAGGGGGAUAACUACUGGAAACGGUAGCUAAUACCGCAUAACGUCG